CGUAGAAUGGUGACUUCACUGGGAGCUAUCUAAGGUAAGACCGGUGACGUGGGCU
Molecule: ribosomal RNA, 55 nt
Filed under: uncultured bacterium
Lineage: Bacteria
Description: partial 16S ribosomal RNA
Source: RNAcentral